CUAACAUUUAUCCCCCCCCCCCAAAAAAAAGGUAAUAAAAGAACAUGGAAAUAUACGUUUUAUGCUAAUUAAAUUCUCUUUUAUGAAGAACAUGAUUUAAUAUUUAUAUUCAGGCUUUGCAAAUUAGUUUCUAUGACUAAAAAAAUUAUUAACUGCGUACUUUUAUAUUCAAGUAUUUUCCUCUAAUGAAAGCGAUGCAUGCGAAUUUCCCAAACACCUGUAACUUUUUGGUGUUAUUUUAUUUCAUUUUUCUUCAGUCAAACUGUCAUUGCAUUGUUUCUCUUUGUUAAAAAGAAAUCACGUGACCGCAACGUCAUUUAGUCUCUUAGCAACCCUAAUUUUUUCAGGGCAUUCUUCAAUGCCUAGCAAUAUUUGCUUUUACAACACCAAAUCUCAUGGUCAAUAACUGGAUUACCCAUACGUGGGAAUUCAGUGAAGGAAAAAUCUUCAACUAAUAUGGAAUUUUCUCCUUCUUUAUCAAGAGCUUCAGUCAAAUCAGUGUCUUCCAAUUAUUCUGUAGAGGAGUUGCAAGAAAAAAUAGGUGAGCUGAGAAAACAGCACAGCCAAAAUGUGGGUGAAUUUCUCAAAGUUCAAACUAUACAAAGAGAACGGAUGAUACAGUGUUUGGAAGAAAAACUAGCCGCUCGACGAGAUAAAAGAGAAAGAAAAGUAGAACAGAUACCACCUGUUUCGAUUUAGUACUGACUGAUUGUUCAGAUUUUGUAUUAUAUUUCACCAAUGAUUAGACAUGAAUUGUGAUACAUGCUUUAAGGUUGUUAUACGUAGUGUUUGGUUACUUUUUUUAAGUAAGCUCACGAGACUGAAACUUGGUGUGUUCAUCAAAGUAACUAUCAUACUAACAGUCUGCUUAUUAUACCUUUUAGAACAGAUGAUUUCUGGAUGCAAAGUAUAUUCAGUUAAUCAAAGUUUCAUAUAUGUAACAAGUGCCGUGUGUAAAAUCAGCAUAAAAAUGUUUCGCCAAAUAAAGUCAUGCAUGAAGAUUUAAUGAAAAUAUAUGAUAAGUGGAAAUUAUAUAAGGCAUUUCUACUGUUUAUGGUUGCCAUAUUGGCAAACUUUGAAAGCGUUUAACCAACACCUCCUAGAAUAAGGAAGGCCUCAGCACGGAUCAAAUUAGUAGUCCGAUGUGACGAAGUUAACUGCGCAGUUGAUGAAAAAUAAGAAAGAUGUCAUUACGUUUGGGGUACUAAGCUGCGCAGUGGUUGAAAAUACGAAAUAAGUCAUUACGUUUGGACUACUAAAGGAUAUUUAUGGUAACCCGUGCAGAGGCCUACUCUUUUCUAGGAGGUGUUGGUUUAACUCGGUUAAAAGAUUCAAGCAGUUCAAAGAAUUUUCGUUAAAAGUCUUGGUGUCACUUACAUUUACUCCAUUUUUUUAAAUUUUUUAGAAGUGUAAAUUUUUUUUAAUAAUUGAAAACUGGCUGUUACAAACGUAACAUAUUGUGUUACGCCUGCAACAUCUUGUUUUUAAUUUUAAGCAAAUCAAACUUAUUAAAAAUUGGAAUAAUGCGAAGAACAAACUUAUUCUCAUAAAAAUUAUUAUGACUGCUCAAAGUUUUCAACUGAGUUAUAUGCUUUUAAUUCAGCAAAUUAGACAUUUGUGAAUAGUGACAUUACACUAUAGAAUGUGCAAGAUGUUUUCUAAGUACCCCUCUUACCAUGUCUCGUAUUUUUGUAAUGCUUAUUGAAAACUGAUUGAUACUGAUGAUCCCCACUAGGAUUGAAUAUUUUCUAAAAAAUCAAGAAGAAAAUCAUCAUAUGUGAUGAAAUUUACAUAGUGUCAGAUAAUAGUAUAUUUAACAUUUUGAAUCAGCUAGUGACAAUUGUUGUUUUCUCCCGCCAAGAUUGUCAAUUUUAUUAACGAUUUAGAUCAGUACAAAGAAUUCGGUAAUGGCCAGAUUAAAAAAAAAACUGUCUUUGAGGGUUUUAGUAAGACCUUCACAAUCAAUCGUCAGAUUUUAAUCUUUUUUUUUCACAUACAAGAAGUUUUAUCUAUAUCUGUUGGAUUUAUUUUUUAAAAAAAAUAUUUGUAAUUAGUGAAAUUUGACUAAAAUCAGACAAAUAAACUGGCAUUAAUGGUUUUAGUUUGAACUUCAAGGUGAUUUCUGAUAUUUUCAUUUUCUUAUCAUAAAUACAUGAGCUUUUGAUUACUUAUAAUAGUCAUAAUAUUGAUUGCCAUAAUAUUGAUUGCCUUCGUACUGAUUCAUCUGAUUUUCAUUAAAAAAAAUUCCUUCCUUCUUAAAAAAAUCCAUAAUGACCAAGAUUUAUUCAUUUUGAUAAAGAUUUUAAAAAUAUAUGUGUUAAGAGAGGUAACUAGAGAACAUACUUCAUAACUGGUUUGUCAUUUCCUUUUUAAAAUUAUGCUCAAUACAUAUUUGACUGUACUUUAAUUGAUAAUUUGUUGUUAGUAUUUAGCAUCUGUGCUUUCAUUUAAAAUUUUAUAAAGUUUAAAUUUGAAUUUUGUUUAAUUUGCGCGAUUGUAUAUGAUGCAAAUUAUUCAGUUUUACUUUAUACUUUACGCACAAUUGUAAUGUAUUUUGAUCAAAUAUCAAAUUGUAAAUACAAUUGAUAAUGAUAAUCUUUUUAAAUUCUAAUUAAUUCCGCAUUAAAAAGGCAAUGAGUGACAAAAUGGAAAACAUCUUAAGAUUUUAAAAUAUAAGAUUUCAAAAUUGAAAUAUGUCAAAAAAGAUUAAGAUUUAAAAGGUUAAGAUAUAGAUUAGACAACGUGUUUGUUGAGAACCUAAAAGCUAUUCCAUGACUUUUUCUCAUCAAGUAUCAAGGAAAGAAAAUCACAGCAAUAAAAAAAAAUCUGAAGAAGUUUUUUUAAGUGAACGUGUCUGAAAUCUUCACAAGCUAGAAACUGAAAGUUUUAAGUAUCAAGAAAUAUUUUUAAGCAAUAGAAAAUUAACUAAAUGUUUAUAAUUAUAUCAACAGGGCUUAUAAAAUAAGUGCACCUAUAAAGGAUUAAAGGCGUAUAGAGCUUUACAUUUUAAUUUUUUAUUGGCAAUAAUAGGUGCAUUUGUAUUAAACAUCAAAGAUUACCUUAACAAAUAUUUAGUAAUUAAUAAAAUUACAACGCACUUAAUGAUUAAACGUUUUCAUAUUUUUGGUCGAAUAUAACUUCAUAUUAUCAAGAUAUUUAUGAGCUUAAAAUAUUUUUGAGCUAUUAAGUAACUUUAUUCACUUUUCAACUAUGAGUCGCAUGUUUGUUUAUUUUCCUUAUUUAUUAUAAGGGCUUCAUAUUAAACACAAAGGUAAACAUCUACACAAAAAUUGAUAUCAUAAAUAAACGAAUUUUACUGAGAGCGAAAUAAAAAAAAUGGAAAGACUUUUAAAUAUUUAUAUAUUAUAAGACUUUUAAAUAUUUAUAUAUUUAAUGUCUAGAUUUUGUUCUACUUAAGUGGUUCGUGGAGCAAACUUGUAAACUAAUUACUUUGUGCAGACGAUAUUUUAAGUUAGGAAAUCAAAUACAACCGUACUUUCUUCAACAAAGAAAAACUUGCUUUUUUUUUCAAAGGAUUUAAAUUUUUGUUUUACGAGGUAUGGGGCUUUGGCAAUAAUCAGAAAAAUAUGGUCCCAAAUAGUUAAGACAGCGGUCAAAAGUUGGACUCCUCAAUGUUUAUUUCGCUUUCUGCGCAUUUGCUCAUGUCAUUUGAAAUAUUUCAGAUAAUUAAAUAAUUCUUGCUCACAAUUAUGGCACUCUUUUAUCAAAAGAUAAUACUUAUACAAUUGUUUAAUGUUUUUUAUUAUUUUAUUUUAAUAAUCCAUCUCUGGCCAAGAAUCUGAGUUCAGCCAUACCCAUACGUCACACCCGUUUAAAGGGCGGACCAAUUCAUUCAUCCACAGAUCGCAAUUUUUACUUCAACCAGAGAACGAUCAAUGUCCAAUUCAGUACCCAAGAGGUAUAAUUUAUGAGAACAUGGAGAACUUUGUGACCCGACAUAUUUAACUUGCACCAGUCGCCACUUACAACACGGGGAGUCUUGUAUCCAAUGGAAUAUCCAAUAUUCAAAUAAAAUUCGUCAAAUAGUUCUUAGGAAAAGAAAAUUCAAACAUACGGCAGUUCAGAGUGAGAAAAGGGAAAUAUAUUAAGGGGCUGAAACUUUCGACCGCUCUUCAGUUUAAACUAUUGGGACAAUUGUUUUUGAGACUGCUGAUACCCCUCAUAUUUUGAGAACCAAAAAUUUAAAUCCGUCUAAAAAAGGUUUGUUUAUUCAGAGAAAGUACGUUUCUGAGUCUGAUGUUGUAACUUGUCGUCAGCACAAGCUAAUCUAUUUAAAGUUAAAUCCUCAAUUUGAUAACAUUGCAUCUCAGUAUGUGAAAGUGAAAACUCAAUCAUUUGAUUAAAGGCUAUUAAGUUCUAAUUUUAGUUUUGAGCACAGUACAAAUAUAUUUUCAUGGUGAUCAUCGUUAUCUAACUUAAAAAAUAUUUCCAUACUUGUUGAAUAAUUUUAAAAAUUAAUGCACUGAUUGAUUUUUCUAUGCUUUUGCAUUGCUAUGACGUAUACAAUAUCCUAAUGAAUAUAAAAA
Parasteatoda tepidariorum (common house spider) is the source of this 4547-nucleotide long non-coding RNA. RefSeq lists it as uncharacterized. NCBI's taxonomy places the organism in Eukaryota, Metazoa, Arthropoda, Arachnida, Araneae, Theridiidae. The record is from RefSeq and is a predicted model, not a curated record.